Long non-coding RNA from Lolium rigidum, 2907 nucleotides. RefSeq lists it as uncharacterized. NCBI's taxonomy places the organism in Eukaryota, Viridiplantae, Streptophyta, Magnoliopsida, Poales, Poaceae. The record is from RefSeq and is a predicted model, not a curated record. The transcript is spliced from 5 exons.
UUUCGCGGGCUUGUGCAGUUGACCGGUUAGCUAAAUUGGAUCUGAAGAGAGAGCAUUGAGACCAUGAGAAUGUCAUGCCAUGCUAGCUGGCGUGAUAUGUCCAGUCACGGGAGGGAAGGAGCACAAACAAAAUGGUGACAGAGGACUGAGCUGGUGACCAAUAAGAAGACAAACAACUGUCUUCAAGUUUGGUGAUUUACCAUCUAAAAAAUGAGAGGUAUAAUUCUUCAGAGUGAACGCUUGUUUGUACUAAGAUUUGGUAAGUUGAGCUUGCUUGUUGAUGUAUCCAAGGUUGUCGCGAUGAAGGCCACCAAGAUGGAUGCAGGACAUGGAGAUCAAAAACUCCUGCGACACUGAUAGAGAGGAUGCUGGCGCCAUGAAGCGGCUUGUGCCGACGUUGAUGAGAUUUCCCGCUUAGAAUUAAAACAUCACAACGUACUCAUUUCACGUAUUGCCACAAUGAUACCUGUGUACAUAGACAUAUUAUUACAAUUAAAUAUUUGUGAAAAUGUUAUCAUGCAUGUGGACUUAUGAGGAAAAGAAGCCCUUUCUGUAGUCUAAAUGAUUGACUCGGCCAUAUUGGAGUUCAGGGAUUAUACCUAGAAAUCUAUAACCCGAAAAGGUAGCUGAAAUUCUUAAUCAGAGAAAGUUGGUUUCUGAGUUAAUUAUGAUCGGUCUUUUAUCUAAAUGCCUAUAAAAGGAGAAGAGCAAGGCAAAUCAGGAUUUAUCCAUUAUGGUUUUCUUGAUUGACAUUAAUUGAAACAGGGUAGGAAACACAGGUUGGUUUUCCCGGCUGAGACAAACUCACUAAUUUGUUAGCAAACCUGAUAUUUGUAGAAAGUACUCCCUCUGAUACUAAAUCAAUAUCAAUAGAUUCGCUAUAAAGUAUAUUUUGUCAAUAUGUCUACUCAAUAUUUGGUCAAACUUAGUAGGGUUUGUCUUUUGACUAACUUAUACGCCCUGUAUUUUGAGAGUACCUUCUAGCAGAAAUAAAAUUGCUGGUAUAGACCAUGAGCUCACAUCUACUGGACAGUUUGUAUCAGUUGUGAAAUUUCUCCUACCACACCUCUGCAUUCUUUUGAGUGACAAACGAGAUUUUUUCUCCUAAAACUAUAAUGUCGGAUGUUGUUUCUACUAAGGUAGAUGCAUUCAUGAUUUUUUUUGUCACUGCCUAUGGUAUUGGUGCAUACAGCUAUAUGUUCUGUCAUGAAUGUCAACCAUCUUAUGGAAGCUGUAAUAAAUAAUUUUUUAUGCUUCGUUUCCAUAAAUAUUACACAUAAAUAGCAUGUAAAGAUCAUUCACUAUGCAUGGUGUGCUCAGGACAAGGCUAAUGUAGCACUAGCUUCUUUUCGGGGUUUUAGGAGCAUGAAGAAUAUCUGGUCGAGAAUAUUCCAGUGAUCCAAGCCUUUGUCAUGGGUAAUCAAAAACAAAUAUAGAACAUGUGAGUUAUACCUGUUAGUUUCCCACAAAGAACGAAAUUGUGUUGUAUGAUGAACGAAUGGAUGUGAUGGUUCAUCAAUUGGUUGCGCAUACCGACGAUAUUAGCAAAUACAUUUGUAAUUGAUAUGUACAGUUCAGUUUUUCGGGUGAGGAUCAGAGAUUACUCAAAUGUCUUGAGUUUUAUCUUCGUAUAUGAGAUCAUGUUCAGUUUACUCAGUGUGAUUCACUUAAUGUUUUGGUGGUCAACUCCACCCCUUUUCCGAUCUUUGUGCUUCUAUGCCAGGCAACCUUAUGUAUAAGUACAUAUCUUAUUAUCUGUUCCGUUCAGGGCCACAGGAUAAUAUGAAGUUUCUCAUGCUACAUGUGAACAAAAUCAAAAGGAUGCUCGUGUUUCUUUGCAACACAGUUUCGGUAUCCUUUUCAGAAUAUGAUUUGAUACUCUGUACCGGUGUUCAUGCAACCCAAUUUAAGGUUGUGGUGUUUAUACUUUUUCCAUUUAUGGAUGAAAUAGUACUUGUAUAGGGAAAUCCAUUUCUCUUCAUAGUUAGAGAUAAAGUAUGGGUUCUUCAGGUUUGUUAUUUUUUAAAUUGAAUUCUCCCGAUGAAUAGAGCUUGCAUGUUUCCUUUUUCAGAUUUAGCGUCUCAAAUGAAAGGCACACAAAGCUGCAUUCCGUUUGUUAGUAUUUGGGUUCUUCAGGUCGGUUAAAAGGACUCAUUUUUAUAUUUACUAGGAUUGUUGUAAGGGUUUAUGAACUUUAGUGAAGUUAUUUAUAUAAGGUCUUUAAUUUGUUUGGCUUAUGAUCUAGAGUUGUCCAGAUUACUCGGGCUUGAUAGCAGUACUAGCCACCACCUGCCUGUGCCUCAGAUCCACCUACGUUUCCCUGAGAUGAUUCGCAGAUAAUUCCCAAUGCGGUUAAUUUCAUUCUAUGUAUAAUUAAUAUGUUUCCUUGAGAUGAUAUUUCAUGACUUUUAUGUGACAUGCGACUGUAGUUCAAUCAGGAAAAUGCAUGUCAUAAGUGAUGGCAAGGAAAUCAGAACGUAGAAUGGUAUAUUUAUCUGAAAUUACAUUUGUAUUUGGAAUUUGCAAGUAUUUAGUUUGCUUUUUGUAUCAUUGACCAAUGCAUCCAAUCUCCCAUGUAACAUGUGGUAGUUGCUGGAUUGAGGCAUCUGUUUUCUAACAUUAUUUCUACAAUGCCAGGUGUCACACUAUGAAGUACAAGGAGGAUUUGCAUGGCCAAGAGCAAAGAGAGAUUUGUCAAGGUAGUGCCACGGAAAGUGCAGAGCUCUUGAUCAUCAUGACGAUGCCAAAGAAGUCAUCAUAGCUUCAUCUGAACACACUGGAUUUUUCCAUGACAAGAUUUUUACUUGGUUGCGGCUGCUUUGUUGAUAUGCUCUGGCUUAAGACUUUUUUUUGCAUUCAGUAGUAACACAAAUAUUGCUCACGUUAUUUCCUCUAUAUAUCUUCUAU